Molecule: non-coding RNA, 67 nt
Filed under: Serratia surfactantfaciens
Lineage: Bacteria; Pseudomonadati; Pseudomonadota; Gammaproteobacteria; Enterobacterales; Yersiniaceae
Source: RNAcentral
AAGGCACGACAUUGCUCACAUUGCUUCCAGUGUUUUUUUAAGCCAGCUCGGGUGCUGGCUUUUUUUU